AAGGGAGACCUAAUUCGGGUAUAAGACGAAAAAAGAGUAGUCGAAACCAAGAAUCAAUCCCAAAAGGUCGGAACGAGGUAUGUGGCUUUCAAACUAGGUUCUGGGUUCACACAAGACCUGAAUCAGGAACAAGGGCUAUUAGCUCAGGUGGUUAGAGCGCACCCCUGAUAAGGGUGAGGUCCCUGGUUCGAGUCCAGGAUGGCCCACCUGCACAGGUGGCAAAAACAAAGAAGCGGGGAAUCAGCACCUUAUCUUAUCUAUAUAUAAGAGAGAAUGCUGGCUCUGAGUAAAGAGUCCAGAGGAACCUUGAAAACUGCAUAGAGCUAGGUGAAAAAGCCAAAAAAGAAGACCGCAA
Molecule: transfer RNA, 355 nt
Filed under: uncultured Microcystis sp.
Lineage: Bacteria; Bacillati; Cyanobacteriota; Cyanophyceae; Chroococcales; Microcystaceae
Description: partial 16S-23S ribosomal RNA intergenic spacer
Rfam family: tRNA (bases 133-206)
Source: RNAcentral